ACACAGGUAUCGAAAAUACAACACAGUUGAAAUUUCACAAUCCAUCUGGCCCAUAAACCGUAGAACCACACUGCCUCACCCGAAAUUAUACACAGGAUCAGAACCUCACAUCUAUACUCAGAAUCAAUCCGAACCAGCUGUAACAACCCACACCUGCAACUUCAAGUGCGUUCAUGCAAUAUACCACACAUUACAACACUCG
RNAcentral lists this long non-coding RNA (202 nucleotides) under Nicotiana benthamiana. RNAcentral describes it as "long non-coding RNA (NBEN_LNC009989)". The record is from RNAcentral. Lineage: Eukaryota; Viridiplantae; Streptophyta; Magnoliopsida; Solanales; Solanaceae.